RNAcentral lists this ribosomal RNA (253 nucleotides) under uncultured bacterium. RNAcentral's name for it is "partial 16S ribosomal RNA". It matches the Rfam family "Bacterial small subunit ribosomal RNA", at positions 524 to 776 of the family's 1533-position model. The record is from RNAcentral.
UACGAAGGGGGCUAGCGUUGCUCGGAAUCACUGGGCGUAAAGCGCACGUAGGCGGAUUGCUAAGUCAGGGGUGAAAUCCUGGAGCUCAACUCCAGAACUGCCUUUGAUACUGGCGACCUUGAGUCCGGGAGAGGUGAGUGGAAUUCCUAGUGUAGAGGUGAAAUUCGUAGAUAUUAGGAAGAACACCGGUGGCGAAGGCGGCCCACUGGUCCGGUACUGACGCUGAGGUGCGAAAGCCAGGGGAGCAAACGGG